This 468-nucleotide long non-coding RNA is filed under the name Pongo abelii (Sumatran orangutan). RNAcentral's name for it is "lincRNA". Lineage: Eukaryota; Metazoa; Chordata; Mammalia; Primates; Hominidae. The record is from RNAcentral.
CACCAGUGAAAGAGGGGAAGUUGCUACUGUGAUGAAUUCUGCCAUGUGGUACCAGACUGCUGCCCAGACCACAGUGUCCUCUGCAACCCUGGUCAAAGGUGCCUACAUGUUCCUUCUAGCUUUGUUUCCCUGAUGUUCCUUGCCACCUGCUACUCCUCUCUGAGCUACUUUUCCAGCUUCUCAGAUGACCAAGAUGGUGCUGCCGAUGGUGUUGAGGACGGAGAACCCACCAAGCCCCGUUAGGAGCCACCUAGACUGGAUGCAGAGCACAGCCUCAGCACCCGCAGAGCAGACACUGCGAUAACAACGGAGGACACAGAAGUGCCCGCUAUGACUCCAGCACCAGGCCACGCCGCUCUGGAAACUCAAACGCUGAGCGCUGAGACCUCUUCUAGGGCCUCAACCCCAGCCGGCCCCAUUCCAGAAGCAGAGACCAGAGAAGCCAAGAGAAUUUCCCCUGCAAGAGAG